UACGGGGGGGGCAAGCGUUGUUCGGAAUUACUGGGCGUAAAGGGCUCGUAGGCGGCCAACUAAGUCGGAUGUGAAAUCCCCAGGCUUAACCUGGGAACUGCAUCCGAUACUGGAUGGCUUGAAUCCGGGAGAGGGAUGCAGAAUUCCAGGUGUAGCGGUGAAAUGCGUAGAUAUCUGCAGGAACACCCGUGGCGAAAGCGGCGCGCUGGACCACUACUGACGCUGAAGAACGAAAGCUAGGGGAGCAAACAGG
This 253-nucleotide ribosomal RNA is filed under the name uncultured bacterium. RNAcentral's name for it is "partial 16S ribosomal RNA". It matches the Rfam family "Bacterial small subunit ribosomal RNA", at positions 524 to 776 of the family's 1533-position model. The record is from RNAcentral.